AACGCGAAGAACCUUACCAGCUCUUGACAUGCCCGGACGGUAUUCAGAGAUGGGUAUCUUCCCGCAAGGGACCGGGAUACAGGUGCUGCAUGGCUGUCGUCAGCUCGUGUCGUGAGAUGUUGGGUUAAGUCCCGCAACGAGCGCAACCCUCAUCUUCAGUUGCCAUCAGGUUAAGCUGGGCACUCUGAAGAAACUGCCGGUGACAAGCCGGAGGAAGGCGGGGAUGACGUCAAGUCCUCAUGGCCUUUAUGGGCAGGGCUACACACGUGCUACAAUGGCGGUGACAAUGGGAUGCGAAGGGGCAACCCUUGGCCAAUCUCAAAAAGCCGUCUCAGUUCGGAUUGUCCUCUGCAACUCGAGGGCAUGAAGCUGGAAUCGCUAGUAAUCGCGGAUCAGCACGCCGCGGUGAAUACGUUCCUGGGUCUUGUACACACCG
This 436-nucleotide ribosomal RNA is filed under the name uncultured bacterium. RNAcentral's name for it is "bacterial SSU rRNA". It matches the Rfam family "Bacterial small subunit ribosomal RNA", at positions 958 to 1392 of the family's 1533-position model. The record is from RNAcentral.